RNAcentral lists this ribosomal RNA (427 nucleotides) under uncultured bacterium. RNAcentral describes it as "partial 16S ribosomal RNA". It matches the Rfam family "Bacterial small subunit ribosomal RNA", at positions 355 to 774 of the family's 1533-position model. The record is from RNAcentral.
UGGGGAAUAUUGCACAAUGGGCGCAAGCCUGAUGCAGCCAUGCCGCGUGUAUGAAGAAGGCCUUCGGGUUGUAAAGUACUUUCAGCGGGGAGGAAGGCGUUGUGGUUAAUAACCACAGCGAUUGACGUUACCCGCAGAAGAAGCACCGGCUAACUCCGUGCCAGCAGCCGCGGUAAUACGGAGGGUGCAAGCGUUAAUCGGAAUUACUGGGCGUAAAGCGCACGCAGGCGGUCUGUUAAGUCAGAUGUGAAAUCCCCGGGCUCAACCUGGGAACUGCAUUUGAAACUGGCAGGCUUGAGUCUCGUAGAGGGGGGUAGAAUUCCAGGUGUAGCGGUGAAAUGCGUAGAGAUCUGGAGGAAUACCGGUGGCGAAGGCGGCCCCCUGGACGAAGACUGACGCUCAGGUGCGAAAGCGUGGGGAGCAAACA